UAGCCACGGUAAUACCAGCUCUUCGAGUGGUAUGGAUGUUUAUUGGGCCUGAAGCAUCCGUAGCUGGCUGAACAAGUUCUCCGUUAAAAUCCAGCGAUUUAAUCGUUGGAUUGCGGGGGGAUACUGCUCGGCUAGGGGGUGGGAGAGGCCAACGGUAUUCUCGGGGUAGGGGUGAAAUCCUAUAAUCCCGGGAGGACCACCAGUGGCGAAGGC
RNAcentral lists this ribosomal RNA (213 nucleotides) under uncultured archaeon. RNAcentral's name for it is "partial 16S ribosomal RNA". It matches the Rfam family "Archaeal small subunit ribosomal RNA", at positions 462 to 673 of the family's 1478-position model. The record is from RNAcentral.